This 1107-nucleotide ribosomal RNA is filed under the name Triticum aestivum (bread wheat). RNAcentral describes it as "partial small subunit ribosomal RNA". Lineage: Eukaryota; Viridiplantae; Streptophyta; Magnoliopsida; Poales; Poaceae. The record is from RNAcentral.
AUGACCGGACGCAGGAUCUCCCAGAAUUUCUGGAAGAAAACUACCGGAAGGCCAUCCGGCCCCGGGCCUGAGCAAGCUUUCAUAGAAGCAAUCGCCCGUCCCACCUCCUCAGGAGAUAAAGGGAGAGUAAGCUCCGCAUUCUCCGCAUCGGAGACCCGAUCGGCAAGCGGCAAGUGGGUGGCGGAUGCGAGGAGGCCGCUCUACUCCGGCAACGAGUGCAGGAGGUGGCUAUCACGAAUGUGGACGGAACGGACAGAUUUCUCGUACGAGAGCCACCGCUGGCAGCCGCAUGACUGCGACAGGCCCGAUUUCUCAGCGACGCACUUUCUUCAAAGGUACGAACAGAACUCUGGCGUUCGUGGGCGAUUCGCUGGGCAGAGGGCAGUCCAGUCCAUGAUGUGCAUCGCGACAGGCGGCAAGCGCAGCCCCGAGGUUGAAGACGUCGGCCGGAGAUACGGCCUCGAAAAGACCCCGUCGCCGUUCAGUCCGGGUGGCUCCGCCUACCGAUUCCCAGAGACCAACGCCACCAUCCUCUUCUACUGGUCCGCCACCCUGUCCCAGCUGGAGCCUCUGACGGACGAGAGGAGGAGCUACGCGCUGCACCUCGACCGGCCGGCGCCGUUCAUGCAGGAGCACCUCCCCAGCUUCGACGCCCUGGUGCUCAACACCGGCCAUCAUUGGAACAAGGUGAAGUUCAGGAGGAACCGCUGGAAGCUGGACGCCAAGCUCCACAGCAUCGCCAGGUGGGCGGACUCGCAGCUCGCGCGUCACCCUUGGGUGAGCGUUUUCCUGAGGACCAUCUCGCCGGUGCAUUUCGUCGACGGCGAGUGGAACACCGGGGGGAGGUGCGACAGCACCGUCCCGCUGUCCGGCGGGAGCGGGGUCUCGCGGGAUCGCUCGAAUGACCUGCCUGCGGAGCGCGCGGUGAACGGGACUCGGGUUAAGCUCCUGGAUAUCAGCGCCAUCUCGCAGCUGCGCGGCGAGGGCCACAUCUCGAACCAUAGCACCAAAGUUCAGAGGGAGGUUUACGAUUGUUUGCAUUGGUGCCUUCCGGUUCCGGGUAUACCGGAUACGUGGAAUGAGCUCCUUUUUGCACAGAUGCAGUAA